GCUAUCUGUGCCUUACCAGUCUCACCAACAAUAAGCCUGGUGACUGACAAUCGAGAGGGGGCUCUGUCCACGUAGGUGCCGGCACAAGCUGAGGACAUGAGUGGGACAGAGGAACCAGCCUUGCACGGAGGAAGCACCUUUUCCUUCUGGUGAUUGAUUGAUGGGGGACAGUGAGGAGGUUUUCAGAGACUGGAAAAAAUUGUCCCAGUCACUUACUAUGAAGUCUUUGUCAGCAGAAAAGACUCUCCGGGGUAGAGAAUGAUAUAAUGCAGAUGACAAAUGACAGGUGUGUGUUUCGUUCUGCUUGCUAGGUACUCAGUAUCACACGCAGGACCCUAUCUGCAGAUGUUCUGAAUACCUCUGAGAAUAGAGAUUGAUUAUUCAACCAGGAUACCUAAUUCAAGGUAUUAGCUCUCGUCAGAAAGCUUUUACAUUUGAGCUCUGUGUUGGAAAUUCUAUUUUGGCAAUGAAUUGAAAUAGGAAAAGUUGGAAUGAGAAUAAAGGACAAAAGUGAAUUUGCAAAAUAAUCAAGUGCUUAAAAAACUACCCAGCACUUGUGAGGGUUUGCUAUUUCUGACUCAUGUGCAACCCUGUCUCUGCCAGCUUAUGUGCCAAUACUGACUUAUUUGUAGCCCUUUCUCUGCAACUGUGCUUGGAGUUUGGAUUUCAU
Molecule: long non-coding RNA, 670 nt
Filed under: Homo sapiens (human)
Lineage: Eukaryota; Metazoa; Chordata; Mammalia; Primates; Hominidae
Description: non-protein coding lnc-C8orf34-5:2
Source: RNAcentral